Molecule: small nuclear RNA, 106 nt
Filed under: Spermophilus dauricus (Daurian ground squirrel)
Lineage: Eukaryota; Metazoa; Chordata; Mammalia; Rodentia; Sciuridae
Source: RNAcentral
GUGUUUACUUGGCAGCACAUAUACUAAAGUUGGAAUGAUACAGAGAAGAUUAGCAUGGCCCCUGUGCAAAGAUGACAAGCAAAUUCAUGAAGCGUUCCGUAUUUUU